CCUACGGGAGGCAGCAGUGAGGAAUAUUGGACAAUGGGCGCAAGCCUGAUCCAGCCAUGCCGCGUGCAGGAUGACGGUCCUAUGGAUUGUAAACUGCUUUUGCACAGGAAGAAACAACAUUACGUGUAAUGUCUUGACGGUACUGUGAGAAUAAGGAUCGGCUAACUCCGUGCCAGCAGCCGCGGUAAUACGGAGGAUCCAAGCGUUAUCCGGAAUCAUUGGGUUUAAAGGGUCCGUAGGCGGUUUAGUAAGUCAGUGGUGAAAGCCCAUCGCUCAACGGUGGAACGGCCAUUGAUACUGCUAAACUUGAAUUAUUAGGAAGUAACUAGAAUAUGUAGUGUAGCGGUGAAAUGCUUAGAGAUUACAUGGAGUACCAAUUGCGAAGGCAGGUUACUACUAAUGGAUUGACGCUGAUGGACGAAAGCGUGGGUAGCGAACAGGAUUAGAUACCCUGGUAGUCCACGCCGUAAACGAUGGAUACUAGCUGUUGGAAGCAAUUUCAGUGGCUAAGCGAAAGUGAUAAGUAUCCCACCUGGGGAGUACGUUCGCAAGAAUGAAACUUAAAGGAAUUGACGGCUGAGACAGCGAGAGACACGAGGGAGGAGG
Molecule: ribosomal RNA, 606 nt
Filed under: uncultured bacterium
Lineage: Bacteria
Description: bacterial SSU rRNA
Rfam family: Bacterial small subunit ribosomal RNA
Source: RNAcentral